CCCUUAGAGUUUGAUCCUGGCUCAGGAUGAACGCUGGCGGCGUGCCUAACACAUGCAAGUCGAACGAAGCAAUUGAAGGAAGUUUUCGGAUGGAAUUCGAUUGACUGAGUGGCGGACGGGUGAGUAACGCGUGGAUAACCUGCCUCACACUGGGGGAUAACAGUUAGAAAUGACUGCUAAUACCGCAUAAGCGCACAGUACCGCAUGGUACAGUGUGAAAAACUCCGGUGGUGUGAGAUGGAUCCGCGUCUGAUUAGCCAGUUGGCGGGGUAGCGGCCCACCAAAGCGACGAUCAGUAGCCGACCUGAGAGGGUGACCGGCCACAUUGGGACUGAGACACGGCCCAAACUCCUACGGGAGGCAGCAGUGGGGAAUAUUGCACAAUGGGCGAAAGCCUGAUGCAGCGACGCCGCGUGAGUGAAGAAGUAUUUCGGUAUGUAAAGCUCUAUCAGCAGGGAAGAA
This 462-nucleotide ribosomal RNA is filed under the name uncultured bacterium. RNAcentral's name for it is "bacterial SSU rRNA". It matches the Rfam family "Bacterial small subunit ribosomal RNA", at positions 1 to 449 of the family's 1533-position model. The record is from RNAcentral.